Molecule: long non-coding RNA, 1023 nt
Organism: Papaver somniferum (opium poppy)
Lineage: Eukaryota; Viridiplantae; Streptophyta; Magnoliopsida; Ranunculales; Papaveraceae
Exons: 2
Source: RefSeq, a predicted model, not a curated record
GAUAUUUAUAAAUUUUAACAUUGAAACAAUUUCUAUUCAGAAAAACUUCUCGUUACGAAUCGAAUGGCGCUUUAAAUCUGUUCCCGUACAUCAUCUUCCUUGUUUUCCUCUCCAAUUUCCCUUAAAUCCCAAACCCUAACAUUUUCUUCAUCUACACAAUCAAAAUCAUUUACAUCUGAAAUUUUCCCAAAAUCUCAAACUCUUGUUUUUCAUUCACAAAAUCUAAAGCAAAAUCAUUUUCUUUUCAAAUUCGUCAGAAAAACCCAUUAGUCAUCACAUUUGCAUUUUAACUUUUAGAUUCAAAUUUUAAAUUUAAACCUUCCAGCACUUCUACUAAAUCGAUUACUUUGGCGAUAUAAAUCAGCACAAAACAAAUCGAAAAGGCAGAAGCUGCCAAAAAAGAUUAUGAAGUUCAUUGCAGUAUUGCUGAGAAGCGACAAUGAAGUUGCUUUGAAGGAGUUGGAUAACUCGUGUGCUAUACCAAAGUCCCAUUCUUUCUGGUGGUUUGAAUCAGAAAGUGUGAUUAUAUAGAGGAAAGUGUGAAAUCUUUGAUCUAUGUCAUUACCCAGGUAUAAUGGUCAUCUGAAGCAAGUGAAUGGAUUCAAUUUUUGAAUUGUAGCAGACUUCAUAUUUCGCUGGAAAAAGGGUACCUCGAGCCGCUAAUCUUGGCCCAUUACACAGAUUUCUAAAUGAUCUGGCUGAAGAACGACUUACAAUUAAUCAUCCAUUGUAGGAAGAUGAGUUAAAUUUUUUAAACUUCACCUUAUAUAAGUUCAAUGCACUGAUUUCAGGUUGUGCUUUUCCAUUCAGAGACACUACAUGGAUAUAUACAUGACAAAUUCCUUAGAAAUUUCCUGCAUCAAAAUUGUGCAUUCUAUUUGAACUUUUUGUCCAUGGUUCUCGGCUUCAUAACUGCAAUGGUAGUAUCUUAAGCAAGAUCUAGGAAUUUAUUGCACUGUAAAGAUGGGAUAAGUGCUACUUAUAAUUUAGUUUGGUUAUUAGAUAAUAAAAUACUUUGCUAUA